RNAcentral lists this non-coding RNA (95 nucleotides) under uncultured Sphingomonas sp. Its description in RNAcentral is "Glycine riboswitch". It matches the Rfam family "Glycine riboswitch aptamer", at positions 7 to 88 of the family's 94-position model. From Rfam's summary of the family: This family represents the bacterial glycine riboswitch. Glycine riboswitches usually consist of two metabolite-binding aptamers domains with similar structures in tandem. Lineage: Bacteria; Pseudomonadati; Pseudomonadota; Alphaproteobacteria; Sphingomonadales; Sphingomonadaceae. The record is from RNAcentral.
CGCGCGGGAGAGCGCCUCUCGGCCUUUCAGGUCGGUAGAUGAGGCCGCCGAAGGAGCAACCACCCCGGAAUCUCUCAGGCCAAAGGACCGCGCGG